This 84-nucleotide transfer RNA is filed under the name Nocardioides sp. Root240. RNAcentral describes it as "tRNA-Leu". Lineage: Bacteria; Bacillati; Actinomycetota; Actinomycetes; Propionibacteriales; Nocardioidaceae. RNAcentral also lists the same sequence under 1 other name. The record is from RNAcentral.
GCCCGCCUGGCGGAACAGGUAGACGCGCGGCGCUCAGGACGCCGUGUCCUUCGGGACAUCCCGGUUCGACUCCGGGGGCGGGCA